AUUGAACGCUGGCGGCAUGCCUUACACAUGCAAGUCGAACGGCAGCACGGGAGCUUGCUCCUGGUGGCGAGUGGCGAACGGGUGAGUAAUACAUCGGAACGUACCCUGAAGUGGGGGAUAACGUAGCGAAAGUUACGCUAAUACCGCAUAUUCUGUGAGCAGGAAAGAGGGGGAUCGCAAGACCUCUUGCUUUAGGAGCGGCCGAUGUCGGAUUAGCUAGUUGGUGAGGUAAAGGCUCACCAAGGCGACGAUCCGUAGCGGGUCUGAGAGGAUGAUCCGCCACACUGGGACUGAGACACGGCCCAGACUCCUACGGGAGGCAGCAGUGGGGAAUUUUGGACAAUGGGCGCAAGCCUGAUCCAGCCAU
Molecule: ribosomal RNA, 367 nt
Filed under: uncultured bacterium
Lineage: Bacteria
Description: bacterial SSU rRNA
Rfam family: Bacterial small subunit ribosomal RNA
Source: RNAcentral